This 498-nucleotide ribosomal RNA is filed under the name uncultured bacterium. Its description in RNAcentral is "partial 16S ribosomal RNA". It matches the Rfam family "Bacterial small subunit ribosomal RNA", at positions 30 to 523 of the family's 1533-position model. The record is from RNAcentral.
AUUGAACGCUGGCGGCAUGCCUUACACAUGCAAGUCGAACGGUAACAGGUCUUCGGAUGCUGACGAGUGGCGAACGGGUGAGUAAUACAUCGGAACGUGCCUAGUAGUGGGGGAUAACUACUCGAAAGAGUGGCUAAUACCGCAUGAGAUCUACGGAUGAAAGCAGGGGAUCGCAAGACCUUGUGCUACUAGAGCGGCAGAUGGCAGAUUAGGUAGUUGGUGGGAUAAAAGCUUACCAAGCCGACGAUCUGUAGCUGGUCUGAGAGGACGAUCAGCCACACUGGGACUGAGACACGGCCCAGACUCCUACGGGAGGCAGCAGUGGGGAAUUUUGGACAAUGGGCGCAAGCCUGAUCCAGCAAUGCCGCGUGCAGGAUGAAGGCCUUCGGGUUGUAAACUGCUUUUGUACGGAACGAAAAGCCCUGGGUUAAUACCCUGGGGUCAUGACGGUACCGUAAGAAUAAGCACCGGCUAACUACGUGCCAGCCGCCGCGGUAA